UUCUCGAGGAAAGAAGCACUUUCUGUUGUCUGAAAGAAAAGAAAGUGCUUCCUUUCAGAGGGU
Molecule: microRNA precursor, 63 nt
Filed under: Homo sapiens (human)
Lineage: Eukaryota; Metazoa; Chordata; Mammalia; Primates; Hominidae
Description: Hsa-Mir-430-P41b_pre stem-loop
Rfam family: mir-515 microRNA precursor family
Source: RNAcentral